This is an RNA transcript of Phragmites australis (common reed), 2469 nucleotides long. It is a transcript of the gene named NAC domain-containing protein 58-like, with no coding region annotated. The record is from RefSeq and is a predicted model, not a curated record. The transcript has 11 exons. Lineage: Eukaryota; Viridiplantae; Streptophyta; Magnoliopsida; Poales; Poaceae.
AUUUCCACCAGGUAGGUAGCCAAAAGCUUCGCUGCCCUACCCUACGCCGCUUUGCUCCGGCGAGUCGGCGACCCCCUCCUCUCCUUCGAUCCCCGCCGCGAGCGGCGAGCUGGCCACGGGCUCUAAUCGAGCCCGGCCUCCGCCCCGUGCUUCCUCGGCCUCCGGCUGCCGCCGCCGCAGCCGCAGCCGCCCCGGGCAUCCCCAUCGGCGUCUUCUGACCCAGGCGCGUCGCGCGACAUCUCGUCGGGCGAAUCCCAGCCCGCCGACGCCGCGGCUCGGCGCCCCGAGGGAUUUUAAUCCUGGUACGACGGGAUCCUAGCGGAAAUGAGGGGCUACGAGUAUCACACCAAUGGUUACCAUCAGACAGUGGAGGAUGAGUAUGAAGAUGAGUACUAUGAUCAAGAUGAGUAUGAGGAGGAAAGUUCAGGUGCUGGGGAGGAGUGCGUUGAGGAGGAACAACCUACAGAGGGACAGAAGGAGAUCCUUGAAUUGAGAGAACGAUUAAAGGAGCAGAUUAGGAGAAAGGCCAAGGCUGCUGGUGCCAGCACAGCUGGCCACUCAUCUUCCUUACAUGAUAGGAUACCUCCAACCAGGAACAAAUUUGGCUCCUUCUUUGGACCAUCCAAGUCAGUGAUUUCUCAACGAGUGAUUGAAGAAAGAAGAUCAAUGAAAGAAUUACAUAGCACAGUCUUGAGAGAUCCAAGGCCUUCUGGCAGGGACAACAUUUCAUCAUCCUCUAAAGUGCAAAGUAAAGGAAACGGAGUUCAGCAAAAACUAAGGAUUUUUAAUGAGGCAAAGAAGAAGGCUGAGGCACUCAAGGAUAAUCGGGAUUAUUCAUUUCUACUCUCAGAUGAUGCUGACCUUCCAUCCUCUCCAAAGGCCGAUCGCGGGGUGAUGCAUUCAGCAUUAAAGAGCAAGGCACCAACGAGUCAACUUGCACGAUUGUCAAAUGGAUAUGGAUCUAAGAACACAUUAUCAACUCAAAAGCAUGCUGAAAGUAAGGUAGAUUCCAUGAGAAAGGAGACUUUCUCAAACAGAGAAAGGGCUGUUUCACUUGACAAUGAGAGGAAGAAUAGUAUUGUUAGAAAUGGAUCCAAGCAGGCCAAUGCAAGCAAAACUACAAGCCAAAAGCUUCCAAGCAAGGGCCCUAUUGCUAAUAAGCAUCCUUCAAAGGAUGUGAAUGAUUCAUCUCUGAGAAAGAGCAGUGUAGCCUCAAGGCACCAUUUUUCAGAUAUUGAGAGACCACAAUCCUCGCAAAGUCAGAGGAUACAGUCAGCUGGUCAAAGACCACAACAUUCUUCCCAUGGUCAGAGGCCACAUCAAUCAGUGCACCAGAAGCCGCAGCAGUCAUUGCAAAGUCGGAAGCCACAGCAGGUGUCACAGAGUCAGAGGCCGCAACAAUCGUUGCAGAGUCAAAGGACGCAACAGUCGUUGCAGAGUCAAAAAUCGCAAUCCUCACAGAUCCACAGACCACAAUCGCAAAGUUACAGGUCUCAGCCGUUGCAAGGGCAAAGGCCUCUUUCUUCGCAAGGUCAAUAUUCUGAUCAAAGAAGAGUUCAUGCAAAUGAUAGAGUAAAACAAGCAGAAAGGCAGAUUCGCCCUCCCUCGAAACCCAUGCCAUCUCGCCCAAUCUCUUCCAAUGGAAUUCGUGAUGAUCAUGCAAAGAGAAAGCAAGUGGUGAAAAGAAGAUUUGAUGAAGAUGAAGAUGAGGAAAACCCCUUUGCAAUGAUCAGAAGUAUGUUCAGGUAUGAUCCUAGUAAAUAUUCAGGCAGAGAUGACGAUGACAGUGACAUGGAAGCAGAUUUUGCUACUAUAGAGAGGGAAGAGAAAAGAAGCGCGAGGAUUGCAAGACAGGAGGAUGAGGAGGAACUCCGCCUUAUUGAGGAAGAAGAGAGACGUGAGCAGGAGAGGAAGAGGCGAAAGCUCGCACGGGGCCGAUAGCAGCUGAGUAGCUCCAGUUAUGUCAUCUCGGGAUGUUAUCACUGCAGAGGCCUGAACACAAGCCAUGGUCGAACAGAGACUGGCAGUCUGGGGGCAACUCGGAUAAACUUGUGCGUUGCGGACGACAGCAACCGUUGCCGUGUAGAUUCUCAGGGGACAAAUCAAGAAAAACGGCAGAUAUAAUUUUGUCCAUCUGGAGAGGAGGCUGAGGUCGGGAGCCAGUCAGAUGUUUCGAGAUGUUUCCAUUGAGGAAAAGGGGUGAAACUUGGGGCGGACGGGAAGUAUGUAUGCGACUACGGGACUAAUACAGCUCGAAUACGGACACUAUUUCUUUUUUAUAGCUGGAUGUUACUACCCUGCACACAACAUUGAUCAACGGAGGAAGCUCGAAACCGAUUCGUCUUAGUGUUCGAGUUUGUCUCCAGCCAGGUUGGCUGACAAAAAAAAUCUGCAGCAUAUAAAGUUCAUGGUUUCGUGGCCUAAUAAGGACUCCGAUACAUCUGUCGUGCCGUCGUCUAUCUUCCCUAC